CCAGGCCCUGAGUUCAAGCCCCAGGGCUGGCAAUAAAAAUACAGAGUUGUUUGAGCAAUGGUAAGUAGAUUAAAGUACGUGUGGGUGGUAAGAGUGACAUAUUAAAGUCAUCCAGAAAAGGUUAUGAACAAUGAUGAAUGCUAGCCUAAGGAGUUUUUCCCUAUUACCCAAAAAAACAAUGGAGUCCAGGCUAGGUGUGAAGGCUCAAGCCUGUAAUUCACAAAGAGUCCAGAGGACUCCAUUUCAACCAAUGACUGAGCACAGUAACACAUCUGUUAUACCAACUAUAGGGGAAGUACAGUGAGUAGAAGCAUAAUGGCAUCGCAGAGACUCUGGGAAUCUUAAUUAGGAGGAUUACAACCCUGGUCACCUUUGGGGCUGGGGAUAUGGCCUAGUGGCAAGAGUGCUUGCCUUGUAUACAUG
This is a long non-coding RNA of Perognathus longimembris pacificus (Pacific pocket mouse), 423 nucleotides long. RefSeq lists it as uncharacterized. Lineage: Eukaryota; Metazoa; Chordata; Mammalia; Rodentia; Heteromyidae. The record is from RefSeq and is a predicted model, not a curated record. The transcript has 3 exons.